AAUAAAUAAAAAAUAUAAAAUAAUAAGAAGAUAAAAACAAGUCUUUUAUUGCAUAUCAAAAAGAAAAUAUAAAAUAUUUAAAAAAGAAGAACACCAUCUAGACAAGUUACAGUGAUUUCUUGAGAUGUGAAGAACUAGCCGGCCAUGGAUCUUCUUCUUGUUGACAACCUUGAGCUGAGAGGGCACCUGGGCAUCAUCUGGAAGAAGGAUGAAAAAGGAGGAUGAAAGAGAGAAAAGGGAAAGUGAUUGCUUGGGAGAAG
RNAcentral lists this long non-coding RNA (260 nucleotides) under Elaeis guineensis (African oil palm). RNAcentral's name for it is "long non-coding RNA (EGUI_LNC068506)". Lineage: Eukaryota; Viridiplantae; Streptophyta; Magnoliopsida; Arecales; Arecaceae. The record is from RNAcentral.